AUGAGGGUGCCCGGGGUGGGCGAGCAGCCCCUUCCGGCACCGAAAUCCCCUGGCAGGCGGGUUCCCAGGGACGCUCGGAGCAGCGGCAGCGUGUGGCGCCCCGGCCGAGCUUGCGAAAGGCUUUGGGGAUCGACGAGAUGCUGCUCUGCGCCUGUCUGGCUCUGCAGUUUCCCGUUGGAUCCUUUUCCUGUAGAGCCGCCGUCAAGGCGAAACCUCAAAGGAGCCACGCGACCGGCCGGUGCAGUGGCGCAUCCACAUCCCUCCUCGUCGCCGGCUCGGAGGACAAGGGCGGCUUUGUGCCCAGCUGCGCACGAGCCGCUGCUGCCCGCGCUGCCCGCCCUUGCUGCCUGCCACAGCUCCAAAAACGGUGCCCCGCUCUCGUGUCGCGCUCAGGCUUCGGUGUGGAGCCAAGCGGAGCCAAGUGGCCGGCUGGGACAGCGGACCAAGCCGGGGAGCGCUGCCGCUGUCGCCUUGGUACCUGCCGGUUCGUGCCGGCACUGCAUCCCGGGACGAGCAUCGCUGAUGGCCACCGGCACUGGGAGGCUCCGAAAUGUCUCCCGCGAAGGCUGCGUGGGGCUGGGAAGGGACCCUCGGGGUCCGCAUCCCGCUCCGCGCGGGUCCUGGGCCCGCUGCAGGGUGAUUCCUCGGGUGCUUUUCCUCUGUUUUGCUCCUAGAGGUGCAAUUUCCUCCGCGUCCUUCGGCGCGAGGCCAGGGAAGGAGGGCGGCGUGGCUGCUGCCGGGGUGGCCGCCCUGCGCCCCUCUGCCUCGGGAGCUGCUUCGGGGCUGCUCUUGCUUUGCUGCUUCCCGUUCCUGCUCGUGCUCCCGGGGGAAGGGGAACCUCGGCUCUGCCUGGUGGAAACCGCCCUGGGGGGCUCUCGGCCGGGGCCGGGUUUGGGGGCGGCCGCGUUCCUGCGGCAGCUCUCAGCGGGAUGCAGGGCCCCCGUGAACCGGGAUGACCUGGGAGCGUGUGUUUACCAGCGCGGUGAGCGCCGGAGCCGCUCGGAGCGAGGAGUAACCUUGGCAACCCCGCUCCAGCCGCAGGGGGAACAAAUGCGCCGGGCGCCUCCGUGCACAGCAGCACCCACCAGGCCGGGGCUGGGGGCACCGCCACGGCCCUGCCGCUCCGGCACCGCGAACGUGGAAGAGGAGUGUGGAAACCUCCCGCCCGCAGUGCCAGUCGGGCCGUGGGAUCCCCCGGUCCCAGGGCGCAGCAGCGCCCAGCGCCGCUCAGGUUUGCAUUGCAAACCCCAGCCCAGCUCGUAUUUCCCCGUGUUUUUCAGCAACCAGAAACCCGCAUGUUCUAUUCCCAGCUGGGUGAACAGCGUGGUGGGGACAAACAGCUUUUGCCUGAGUGUUAAUGUGUUUUGGCUACUGACACCGAGUGUUUGCUAG
This 1392-nucleotide long non-coding RNA is filed under the name Apteryx haastii (Great spotted kiwi). RNAcentral describes it as "lncRNA (ENSAHAG00000009953.1)". Lineage: Eukaryota; Metazoa; Chordata; Aves; Apterygiformes; Apterygidae. The record is from RNAcentral.